UACGUAGGGUGCGAGCGUUGUCCGGAAUUAUUGGGCGUAAAGGGCUCGUAGGCGGUUUUGUCGCGUCGGGAGUGAAAACCUUGGGCUUAACUCAGGGCUUGCUUUCGAUACGGGCAGACUAGAGGUAUGCAGGGGAGAACGGAAUUCCUGGUGUAGCGGUGAAAAUGCGCAGAUAUCAGGAGGAACACCGGUGGCGAAGGCGGGGUCUCUGGGGCCGAUACUGACGCUGAGGAGCGAAAAGCGUGGGGAGCGAACAGG
RNAcentral lists this ribosomal RNA (258 nucleotides) under uncultured bacterium. Its description in RNAcentral is "partial 16S ribosomal RNA". It matches the Rfam family "Bacterial small subunit ribosomal RNA", at positions 524 to 776 of the family's 1533-position model. The record is from RNAcentral.